CCGACCUUAGCUCAGUUGGUAGAGCGGAGGACUGUAGUAUGCGCAGAUAAAUCCUUAGGUCGCUGGUUCGAAUCCGGCAGGUCGGA
This is a non-coding RNA of Oryza punctata, 86 nucleotides long. The record is from Rfam. NCBI's taxonomy places the organism in Eukaryota, Viridiplantae, Streptophyta, Magnoliopsida, Poales, Poaceae.